Molecule: ribosomal RNA, 836 nt
Filed under: Neosetophoma samarorum
Lineage: Eukaryota; Fungi; Ascomycota; Dothideomycetes; Pleosporales; Phaeosphaeriaceae
Description: eukaryotic LSU rRNA
Rfam family: Eukaryotic large subunit ribosomal RNA
Source: RNAcentral
GGGAUUGCCCUAGUAACGGCGAGUGAAGCGGCAACAGCUCAAAUUUGAAAUCUGGCUCUUUCAGAGUCCGAGUUGUAAUUUGCAGAGGGCGCUUUGGCGUUGGCAGCGGUCCAAGUUCUUUGGAACAGGACGUCACAGAGGGUGAGAAUCCCGUACGUGGUCGCUAGCCUUCGCCGUGUAAAGCCCCUUCGACGAGUCGAGUUGUUUGGGAAUGCAGCUCUAAAUGGGAGGUAAAUUUCUUCUAAAGCUAAAUACUGGCCAGAGACCGAUAGCGCACAAGUAGAGUGAUCGAAAGAUGAAAAGCACUUUGGAAAGAGAGUCAAAUAGCACGUGAAAUUGUUGAAAGGGAAGCGCUUGCAGCCAGACUUGCCUGUAGUUGCUUAUCUAGACUUUUGUCUAGUGCACUCUUCUGCGGGCAGGCCAGCAUCAGUCUAGGCGGUUGGAUAAAGGUCUCUGUCAUGUACCUCUCUUCGGGGAGGCCUUAUAGGGGAGACGACAUGCAACCAGCCUGGACUGAGGUCCGCGCAUCUGCUAGGAUGCUGGCGUAAUGGCUGUAAGCGGCCCGUCUUGAAACACGGACCAAGGAGUCUAACAUCUAUGCGAGUGUUUGGGUGUCAAGCCCAGACGCGUAAUGAAAGUGAACGGAGGUGGGAACCCUUUUGGGUGCACCAUCGACCGAUCCUGAUGUCUUCGGAUGGAUUUGAGUAAGAGCAUGGCUGUUGGGACCCGAAAGAUGGUGAACUAUGCUUGAAUAGGGUGAAGCCAGAGGAAACUCUGGUGGAGGCUCGCAGCGGUUCUGACGUGCAAAUCGAUCGUCAAAUUUGGGCAUAGGGGCG